CGAGUGAAGCGGCAAAAGCUCAAAUUUGAAAUCUGGCGCCUUCGGUGUCCGAGUUGUAAUUUGAAGAUUGUAACCUUGGGGUUGGCUCUUGUCUAUGUUUCUUGGAACAGGACGUCACAGAGGGUGAGAAUCCCGUGCGAUGAGAUGCCCAAUUCUAUGUAAGGUGCUUUCGAAGAGUCGAGUUGUUUGGGAAUGCAGCUCUAAGUGGGUGGUAAAUUCCAUCUAAAGCUAAAUAUUGGCGAGAGACCGAUAGCGAACAAGUACAGUGAUGGAAAGAUGAAAAGAACUUUGAAAAGAGAGUGAAAAAGUACGUGAAAUUGUUGAAAGGGAAGGGUUUGAGAUCAGACUCGAUAUUUUGUGAGCCUUGCCUUCGUGGCGGGGUGACCCGCAGCUUAUCGGGCCAGCAUCGGUUUGGGCGGUAGGAUAAUGGCGUAGGAAUGUGACUUUACUUCGGUGAAGUGUUAUAGCCUGCGUUGAUGCUGCCUGCCUAG
This 491-nucleotide ribosomal RNA is filed under the name Meyerozyma guilliermondii. Its description in RNAcentral is "eukaryotic LSU rRNA". It matches the Rfam family "Eukaryotic large subunit ribosomal RNA", at positions 90 to 586 of the family's 3401-position model. Lineage: Eukaryota; Fungi; Ascomycota; Pichiomycetes; Serinales; Debaryomycetaceae. The record is from RNAcentral.